This 318-nucleotide ribosomal RNA is filed under the name uncultured eukaryote. RNAcentral describes it as "partial 18S ribosomal RNA". It matches the Rfam family "Eukaryotic small subunit ribosomal RNA", at positions 1470 to 1796 of the family's 1831-position model. The record is from RNAcentral.
CCCUUAGAUGGUCUGGGCGGCACGCGCGCUACAAUGAUGCAUUGAAAAAGUCUUCUGACCUUAGAAGGUUGGGUAUUCUCCAAAGUGCAUCGUGAUGGGAAUAGUUUAUUGCAAUUUUUAAUCUUGAACGAGGAAUUCCUAUUAAGUACAGGUCAUCAACUUGUGUUGAUUACGUCCCUGCCCUUUGUACACACCGCCCGUCGCUCCUACCGAUUGAAUGUUCCGGUGAGCUCUUCGGACUGCGCGGUCUGCAGUUUCUGCGUUCCGUGCGGAAAGUUGCGCAAACCUUAACAUUUAGAGGAAGGAGAAGUCGUAACA